UACGUAGGGUGCGAGCGUUGUCCGGAAUUAUUGGGCGUAAAGAGCUCGUAGGCGGUGUGUCACGUCGGCCGUGAAAACCUGCAGCUUAACUGUGGGCGUGCGGUCGAUACGGGCAUCACUGGAGUUCGGCAGGGGAGACUGGAAUUCCUGGUGUAGCGGUGAAAUGCGCAGAUAUCAGGAGGAACACCGGUGGCGAAGGCGGGUCUCUGGGCCGAUACUUACGCUGAGGAGCGAAAGCGUGGGGAGCGAACAGG
RNAcentral lists this ribosomal RNA (254 nucleotides) under uncultured bacterium. RNAcentral's name for it is "partial 16S ribosomal RNA". It matches the Rfam family "Bacterial small subunit ribosomal RNA", at positions 524 to 776 of the family's 1533-position model. The record is from RNAcentral.